AAUGAAUUAGUUUAAAAAUUUAAAACAUUAAAUUGUCAAUUUAAAAAUAUUUAAUUAUAUUCUUUA
This 66-nucleotide transfer RNA is filed under the name Acropyga goeldii. Its description in RNAcentral is "tRNA-Asp". Lineage: Eukaryota; Metazoa; Arthropoda; Insecta; Hymenoptera; Formicidae. The record is from RNAcentral.